UGGCUCAGAUUGAACGCUGGCGGCAGGCCUAACACAUGCAAGUCGAGCGGCAGCACGGGUACUUGUACCUGGUGGCGAGCGGCGGACGGGUGAGUAAUGCCUAGGAAUCUGCCUGGUAGUGGGGGAUAACGUUCGGAAACGAACGCUAAUACCGCAUACGUCCUACGGGAGAAAGCAGGGGACCUUCGGGCCUUGCGCUAUCAGAUGAGCCUAGGUCGGAUUAGCUAGUUGGUGAGGUAAUGGCUCACCAAGGCGACGAUCCGUAACUGGUCUGAGAGGAUGAUCAGUCACACUGGAACUGAGACACGGUCCAGACUCCUACGGGAGGCAGCAGUGGGGAAUAUUGGACAAUGGGCGAAAGCCUGAUCCAGCCAUGCCGCGUGUGUGAAGAAGGUCUUCGGAUUGUAAAGCACUUUAAGUUGGGAGGAAGGGCAGUUACCUAAUACGUAAUUGUUUUGACGUUACCGACAGAAUAAGCACCGGCUAACUCUGUGCCAGCAGCCGCGGUAAUACAGAGGGUGCAAGCGUUAAUCGGAAUUACUGGGCGUAAAGCGCGCGUAGGUGGUUCGUUAAGUUGGAUGUGAAAUCCCCGGGCUCAACCUGGGAACUGCAUUCAAAACUGUCGAGCUAGAGUAUGGUAGAGGGUGGUGGAAUUUCCUGUGUAGCGGUGAAAUGCGUAGAUAUAGGAAGGAACACCAGUGGCGAAGGCGACCACCUGGACUGAUACUGACACUGAGGUGCGAAAGCG
RNAcentral lists this ribosomal RNA (748 nucleotides) under uncultured Pseudomonas sp. RNAcentral's name for it is "bacterial SSU rRNA". It matches the Rfam family "Bacterial small subunit ribosomal RNA", at positions 20 to 761 of the family's 1533-position model. The record is from RNAcentral. Lineage: Bacteria; Pseudomonadati; Pseudomonadota; Gammaproteobacteria; Pseudomonadales; Pseudomonadaceae.